UACAGGGGGGGCAAGCGUUGUUCGGAAUUACUGGGCGUAAAGGGUUCGUAGGUGGCUUACUAAGUCAGACGUGAAAUCCCUCAGCUUAACUGGGGAACUGCGUCUGAUACUGGAUGGCUUGAGUUCGGGAGAGGGAUGCGGAAUUCCAGGUGUAGCGGUGAAAUGCGUAGAUAUCUGGAGGAACACCGGUGGCGAAGGCGGCAUCCUGGACCGACACUGACGCUGAGGAGCGAAAGCCAGGGGAGCAAGCGGG
RNAcentral lists this ribosomal RNA (253 nucleotides) under uncultured bacterium. Its description in RNAcentral is "partial 16S ribosomal RNA". It matches the Rfam family "Bacterial small subunit ribosomal RNA", at positions 524 to 776 of the family's 1533-position model. The record is from RNAcentral.